ACGUAGGUGGCAAGCGUUGUCCGGAUUUAUUGGGCGUAAAGCGAGCGCAGGCGGUUUCUUAAGUCUGAUGUGAAAGCCUUCGGCUCAACCGAAGAAGUGCAUCGGAAACUGGGAAACUUGAGUGCAGAAGAGGAAAGUGGAACUCCAUGUGUAGCGGUGAAAUGCGUAGAUAUACAGAGGAACACCAAAGGCGAAGGCAGCUUGCUGGACUUGUACUGACUCUCAGUCACGAAAGCGUGGGGAGCAAACGG
RNAcentral lists this ribosomal RNA (251 nucleotides) under uncultured prokaryote. RNAcentral's name for it is "partial 16S rRNA". It matches the Rfam family "Bacterial small subunit ribosomal RNA", at positions 525 to 775 of the family's 1533-position model. The record is from RNAcentral.